Molecule: non-coding RNA, 232 nt
Filed under: Enterococcus phoeniculicola
Lineage: Bacteria; Bacillati; Bacillota; Bacilli; Lactobacillales; Enterococcaceae
Description: T-box sequence
Rfam family: T-box leader
About the family: Uncharged tRNA acts as the effector for transcription antitermination of genes in the T-box leader family. T-boxes are found upstream of many aminoacyl-tRNA synthetase genes and some amino acid biosynthetic genes usually in Gram-positive bacteria. The anticodon of a specific tRNA base pairs to a specifier sequence within the T-box motif, and the NCCA acceptor tail of the tRNA base pairs to a conserved bulge in the T-box antiterminator hairpin.
Source: RNAcentral
AAUUAUGCUUUGAAGAGAAGAGUAAGUAACAAGAAGUAAGAAAAGAGACCCUUGUCUGGUGAAAAUGGGGAUUACUGCAAGUUAGUGAAGAUGAGCUCUGAGCAUCUGGUGUUGUUCACGCAAACCAGACGGUAAGCGACCGUUAAAUAGCCAAGUAUGUUUGUACUGUUGAGGUAUUAUUUGAAAAAAUAAUAUAAAUAAGGGUGGUAUCACGGAAAUAUUCGUCCCUUUA